GUGGGGAAUUUUGGACAAUGGGCGCAAGCCUGAUCCAGCAAUGCCGCGUGUGUGAAGAAGGCCUUCGGGUUGUAAACUGCUUUUGUACGGAACGAAACGGCUCUGGUUAAUACCCGGGGCUAAUGACGGUACCGUAAGAAUAAGCACCGGCUAACUACGUGCCAGCAGCCGCGGUAAUACGUAGGGUGCAAGCGUUAAUCGGAAUUACUGGGCGUAAAGCGUGCGCAGGCGGUUUUGUAAGACAGGCGUGAAAUCCCCGGGCUCAACCUGGGAAUGGCGCUUGUGACUGCAAAGCUGGAGUGCGGCAGAGGGGGAUGGAAUUCCGCGUGUAGCAGUGAAAUGCGUAGAUAUGCGGAGGAACACCGAUGGCGAAGGCAAUCCCCUGGGCCUGCACUGACGCUCAUGCACGAAAGCGUGGGGAGCAAACAGGAUUAGAAACCCCGGUAGUCC
This 450-nucleotide ribosomal RNA is filed under the name uncultured bacterium. RNAcentral's name for it is "partial 16S ribosomal RNA". It matches the Rfam family "Bacterial small subunit ribosomal RNA", at positions 354 to 796 of the family's 1533-position model. The record is from RNAcentral.